RNAcentral lists this ribosomal RNA (727 nucleotides) under uncultured fungus. Its description in RNAcentral is "eukaryotic LSU rRNA". It matches the Rfam family "Eukaryotic large subunit ribosomal RNA", at positions 24 to 664 of the family's 3401-position model. The record is from RNAcentral. Lineage: Eukaryota; Fungi.
CCCGCUGAACUUAAGCAUAUCAAUAAGCGGAGGAAAAGAAACUAACAAGGAUUCCCUUAGUAACGGCGAGUGAAGCGGGAAGAGCUCAAAUUUAAAAUCUCGUCGGUUUCUCCGGCGCGAAUUGUAGUUUAUGGAAGCGUUUUUUCGGCAGAAGCCUAGGUACAAGUCCUUUGGAACAGGGUAUCAUAGAGGGUGAGAAUCCCGUCUCUGACCUUGGUUUUUCUGCUAUGUGAUACGUUCUCCGAGAGUCGGGUUGUUUGGGAAUGCAGCCUAAAAUGGGUGGUAAAUUUCAUCUAAAGCUAAAUAUUGGCGAGAGACCGAUAGCGAACAAGUACCGUGAGGGAAAGAUGAAAAGAACUUUGAAAAGAGAGUUAAACAGUACGUGAAAUUGUUGAAAGGGAAACGUUUGGAUCCAACAAUGCUUGCGGUGUGAUCAUCUUCGGGUGCUCUCACCCGUUAGCAAGUUAGCGUCGGUUUGGAUUGCCGGAUAAAAACCAAGGGAAUGUGGCUCACUUUCGGGAGAGUGUUAUAGCCCUGGUCGAUACGGUGAUCUGGACUGAGGUCUGCAGCCGAACUUUUUGUUGGGGUCACAGCCGCUGGGUGCGCGUCUAUGGUAGACAGCUUGCUGACUAUUGUAGAAGGAGUCGUGUCCACACGGUUGUUUUACCUACACUUCCGGCUUAGGUCGCUGACUUAAUGGUUCCAAAUGACCCGUCUUGAAACACGG